UACGGGGGGGGCAAGCGUUGUUCGGAAUUACUGGGCGUAAAGGGCUCGUAGGCGGCCAACUAAGUCAGACGUGAAAUCCCUCAGCUUAACCGGGGAACUGCGUCUGAUACUGGAUGGCUUGAGGUUGGGAGAGGGAUGCGGAAUUCCAGGUGUAGCGGUGAAAUGCGUAGAUAUCUGGAGGAACACCGGUGGCGAAGGCGGCAUCCUGGACCAAUUCUGACGCUGAGGAGCGAAAGCCAGGGGAGCAAACGGG
RNAcentral lists this ribosomal RNA (253 nucleotides) under uncultured bacterium. Its description in RNAcentral is "partial 16S ribosomal RNA". It matches the Rfam family "Bacterial small subunit ribosomal RNA", at positions 524 to 776 of the family's 1533-position model. The record is from RNAcentral.